RNAcentral lists this ribosomal RNA (498 nucleotides) under uncultured bacterium. RNAcentral's name for it is "partial 16S ribosomal RNA". It matches the Rfam family "Bacterial small subunit ribosomal RNA", at positions 28 to 508 of the family's 1533-position model. The record is from RNAcentral.
GAUGAACGCUGGCGGCGUGCCUAAUACAUGCAAGUCGAGCGAACAGAUGAGGAGCUUGCUCCUCUGACGUUAGCGGCGGACGGGUGAGUAACACGUGGAUAACCUACCUAUAAGACUGGGAUAACUUCGGGAAACCGGAGCUAAUACCGGAUAAUAUAUUGAACCGCAUGGUUCAAUAGUGAAAGACGGUUUUGCUGUCACUUAUAGAUGGAUCCGCGCCGCAUUAGCUAGUUGGUAAGGUAACGGCUUACCAAGGCAACGAUGCGUAGCCGACCUGAGAGGGUGAUCGGCCACACUGGAACUGAGACACGGUCCAGACUCCUACGGGAGGCAGCAGUAGGGAAUCUUCCGCAAUGGGCGAAAGCCUGACGGAGCAACGCCGCGUGAGUGAUGAAGGUCUUCGGAUCGUAAAACUCUGUUAUUAGGGAAGAACAAAUGUGUAAGUAACGAUGCACGUCUUGACGGUACCUAAUCAGAAAGCCACGGCUAACUACGUGC